Molecule: ribosomal RNA, 610 nt
Filed under: Bradyrhizobium sp. Is-B012
Lineage: Bacteria; Pseudomonadati; Pseudomonadota; Alphaproteobacteria; Hyphomicrobiales; Nitrobacteraceae
Description: bacterial SSU rRNA
Rfam family: Bacterial small subunit ribosomal RNA
Source: RNAcentral
AGGGUGAGUAACGCGUGGGAACGUACCUUUUGGUUCGGAACAACACAGGGAAACUUGUGCUAAUACCGAAUAAGCCCUUACGGGGAAAGAUUUAUCGCCGAAAGAUCGGCCCGCGUCUGAUUAGCUAGUUGGUGGGGUAACGGCCCACCAAGGCGACGAUCAGUAGCUGGUCUGAGAGGAUGAUCAGCCACAUUGGGACUGAGACACGGCCCAAACUCCUACGGGAGGCAGCAGUGGGGAAUAUUGGACAAUGGGCGCAAGCCUGAUCCAGCCAUGCCGCGUGAGUGAAUGAAGGCCCUAGGGUUGUAAAGCUCUUUUGUGCGGGAAGAUAAUGACGGUACCGCAAGAAUAAGCCCCGGCUAACUUCGUGCCAGCAGCCGCGGUAAUACGAAGGGGGCUAGCGUUGCUCGGAAUCACUGGGCGUAAAGGGUGCGUAGGCGGGUCUUUAAGUCAGGGGUGAAAUCCUGGAGCUCAACUCCAGAACUGCCUUUGAUACUGAGGAUCUUGAGUUCGGGAGAGGUGAGUGGAACUGCGAGUGUAGAGGUGAAAUUCGUAGAUAUUCGCAAGAACACCAGUGGCGAAGGCGGCUCACUGGCCCGAUACUGACGCU